Molecule: non-coding RNA, 1940 nt
Organism: Nothobranchius furzeri (turquoise killifish)
Lineage: Eukaryota; Metazoa; Chordata; Actinopteri; Cyprinodontiformes; Nothobranchiidae
Source: RefSeq, a predicted model, not a curated record
CACGGUUUUUAAUAUUAGAAGCUGUGAUGAUGCUAAACCGGAUCGGAUCCGGCCAGAUUCACAAACCGUUUUAGGAAGUGAUCUAGUUCUGGCUUAGAUAAUAAUGUGAUACAUGCAGGGUCUGAUCCAGAACAGGCCGAGCAGUUCCAGGACAGACCACAGGGACAGCCUGGCACUGUUCAGUCACACACCCAAAGCCAAUCAAACACCAAAUUCUUAACAUUUCCAACGAACAUGCUGAAAACUCGUCCAAAGGAUUCCGGUCUAAACAACUUCAAGCUUACAGCGGGCUCCGCCUCUGCCUUCUGCUGAUGUUUCCCACCGAAAAUUAACCAGAUCAGAUUUCCGACAUUUUAUUUAUUUUUUAAACCUGACAACUUGACAUUUAAAUCCCUCUUUUACGGCCUGAUAAAUCGUUUUACGGGAUAACAUCCGUCUUAUCGGGGCGUCGAACACCAAGGGCAGCGAUUCAAGUUGAAAACAUGACAGGAAGAUACUCACCGGCUGAAUGUGUCCGAAUAUGUCGAGGCUUUUGGGACAAACGGGCAACGUUUUCUGCAAGUCAGAAGUUUAAAAAAAAGAAGAAACACGACGACGCAGCGCGAGCCACAGAAAAGGAGCCAACUAGAACAUUAACGGUGGCCACGGCUAGUUAUUCCAGUUAGUUUCAUAAUGAAACACGAUGGAUGACAAAAACCGGUGUCUGGUUGGUGUCCAGCCCGUCAAACGGCGCUUCCAGUCGGUAAAAACUCUGUAUUUUUCUGUCGUUGUCCUGAAACUAGAGGUGGAAACCAAAGUGCUACUGUUGGGGGUUAACAACUUUGCUGUGAAAGACGCGAUCUGAUUGGUCAGCCACGGCCACCAAUCACCUGUGGCGAGUCCUGGGAUCGUGACGUCGCGUGCCACAAGGGAUGGGACGAGACGUGAUUGGUUGACACUGUUAGCAAGGUUAGCUUUAGCUGACAGCUAAUUUUACAUAUUAGUUUAACUACCUCGAUUUGUAACACGAGUUGUUUGUUUCACAGCGCUGUAGUUGAACCUGCCAGCACCUCUGGCCAGUUUCGUUUCAGUUCCUCAUAUUUAUGCAUUUUAAACUAGUUUAAUCUUCAAAAAAUGUCAGCUAUAUCGAUUUACUUUGCAUUUCUUCGCUUAUUUUUCAAAAUAAACAAAUUGUUACACAUUUGAGAUUAGCCACAUGAAAAGGAGCAAAAUGUACUUUGUUUAAAUCAGAUUUCACAGCGAGGAAAAAGGGAAUACAAGGGAAUGUCACCUCUGUAAGCAGGAAUAAACAAAGACCAAUAAAACCAACUUCUGUGUUGUUAAAAAAAUUGAAACUUGACCUGCUUACAUUAACUGUUUAAUAUCAUUUUAACGUUGAAUACAAAACUUUAACAUAAACAUUUACUACAUGUGAGCAAAAACUACAAAUUCUAACAAUUUUAUUCCUUUAAAUUUAGUUUCUUGAGCUUCAUUGGUUUAAUGAUUAAAUAGUUGCCUGACUAAUAAUCUGAAAAUCCCAAAGUAUUUGUUUACCUCUCAGGAACAAAGUCCCAAAUUCAUCAGUAAAUUAAGACACAUAUACAAAAGAAUAACAGCACCACCACCUCAUAAUGGGGUCAAAUGUUUUGAAGGUUUAUUCAAUAAAUAAUUACAGAAAAGAUUGCCUGAACAUGUGGCAAAAAUGAACAAAAGGCACUUUGAAACAGUUUUUUUCUUUUAAACUAUGACAAAAAAAUUAGGAUGCAGGCAUUUUUCUCUUUAUCACUAAUCAUGAUUGUUUAGUAUAAAACGUUUGAUCGAGAAAACAUAAAAAGACAGAUGGUGGAAUUACUGACAGAGAGAGGAAAGUUGAUGCUCUUCCAGUUUGUAAUCCACAGGUAAAACAAAAAUCUAGCUACAGAAAAAGGAAUAUUUGGUACGGCUGAUUAGAAAUGAAGAAC